AGCUUUGCGCAGUGGCGAUAUCGUAACCAGUGAGGGUUAUCCGAGGUGCGAUCAUUGCUAGUUGAAAACUUUAACCAAUACCCCGCCAUGUGGACGUGAAAUACCGUCCGCAACGGCAAUUUUUGAAGGCCUUUACGGAGG
RNAcentral lists this small nuclear RNA (141 nucleotides) under Oryctes borbonicus. RNAcentral's name for it is "U4 spliceosomal RNA". It matches the Rfam family "U4 spliceosomal RNA". Rfam says of the family: U4 small nuclear RNA (U4 snRNA) is a component of the major U2-dependent spliceosome. The structure of U4 snRNA from yeast and human has been reported. Lineage: Eukaryota; Metazoa; Arthropoda; Insecta; Coleoptera; Scarabaeidae. The record is from Rfam by way of RNAcentral.